RNAcentral lists this ribosomal RNA (380 nucleotides) under uncultured eukaryote. Its description in RNAcentral is "partial 18S ribosomal RNA". It matches the Rfam family "Eukaryotic small subunit ribosomal RNA", at positions 592 to 976 of the family's 1831-position model. The record is from RNAcentral.
CAAUAGCGUAUAUUAAAGCUGUUGCGGUUAAAAAGCUCGUAGUUGGAUUUCUGUCAAGUACAACUGGUCCGCCCUCCGGGUGAGCACAUAGUUUGGUCUUGGCAUCUUGCUGGAAAUUGUUGCUGCACUUGGCUGUGUGGCGCAGUGUCCAGCACUUUCACUUUGAGGAAAUCGGAGUGUUUCAAGCAGGCAAUGCCUUUGAACACAGUAGCAUGGAAUAAUUAGAUUGGGCUUUUGCUCCAAUUUGUCGGUUUCUGGAGCUGAGGUGAGAAUUAAUGGGGAUUGUUGGGGGCAUCCGAAUUUAGCCGUCAGAGGUGAAAUUCUUGGAUCGGCUAAAGACGGACAACUGCGAAAGCGUUUGCCCAGGAUGUUUUCAUUGA